Molecule: ribosomal RNA, 522 nt
Filed under: uncultured Lysinibacillus sp.
Lineage: Bacteria; Bacillati; Bacillota; Bacilli; Caryophanales; Bacillaceae
Description: bacterial SSU rRNA
Rfam family: Bacterial small subunit ribosomal RNA
Source: RNAcentral
GUAGUUUGACUCCGUGGCUACGACGACGACGCUGGCCGGCGUGCCUAAUACAUGCAAGUCGAGCGGACGGAUGGGAGCUUGCUCCCAGAAGUUAGCGGCGGACGGGUGAGUAACACGUGGGCAACCUGCCCUAUAGUUGGGGAUAACUCCGGGAAACCGGGGCUAAUACCGAAUGAUAUAAGUUUAGCUCCUGCUAGAUUGUUGAAAGAUGGUUUACGCUAUCGCUAUAGGAUGGGCCCGCGGCGCAUUAGCUAGUUGGUGAGGUAACGGCUCACCAAGGCGACGAUGCGUAGCCGACCUGAGAGGGUGAUCGGCCACACUGGGACUGAGACACGGCCCCAGACUCCUACGGGAGGCAGCAGUAGGGAAUCUUCCACAAUGGGCGAAAGCCUGAUGGAGCAACGCCGCGUGAGUGAAGAAGGUUUUCGGAUCGUAAAACUCUGUUGUAAGGGAAGAACAAGUACAGUAGUAACUGGCUGUACCUUGACGGUACCUUAUUAGAAAGCCACGGCUAACUACGUG